GAUGAACGCUGGCGGCGUGCCUAAUACAUGCAAGUCGAGCGAACAGACGAGGAGCUUGCUCCUCUGACGUUAGCGGCGGACGGGUGAGUAACACGUGGAUAACCUACCUAUAAGACUGGGAUAACUUCGGGAAACCGGAGCUAAUACCGGAUAAUAUAUUGAACCGCAUGGUUCAAUAGUGAAAGACGGUUUUGCUGUCACUUAUAGAUGGAUCCGCGCCGCAUUAGCUAGUUGGUAAGGUAACGGCUUACCAAGGCGACGAUGCGUAGCCGACCUGAGAGGGUGAUCGGCCACACUGGAACUGAGACACGGUCCAGACUCCUACGGGAGGCAGUAGGGAAUCUUCCGCAAUGGGCGAAAGCCUGACGGAGCAACGCCGCGUGAGUGAUGAAGGUCUUCGGAUCGUAAAACUCUGUUAUUAGGGAAGAACAAAUGUGUAAGUAACUAUGCACGUCUUGACGGUACCUAAUCAGAAAGCCACGGCUAACUACGUG
This 494-nucleotide ribosomal RNA is filed under the name uncultured bacterium. Its description in RNAcentral is "partial 16S ribosomal RNA". It matches the Rfam family "Bacterial small subunit ribosomal RNA", at positions 28 to 507 of the family's 1533-position model. The record is from RNAcentral.